Molecule: ribosomal RNA, 700 nt
Filed under: uncultured bacterium
Lineage: Bacteria
Description: bacterial SSU rRNA
Rfam family: Bacterial small subunit ribosomal RNA
Source: RNAcentral
UCAGGCCUAACACAUGCAAGUCGAACGAUUAAAGCUCCUUCGGGAGUGUAUAAAGUGGCGGACGGGUGAGUAAGGCAUAGGCGACCUGCCCUAAAGUGGGGGAUAGCCUGGAGAAAUUCGGGUUAAUACCGCGUAAGCUGGACAAGUGAAUAUUGUUCAGUAAAGGCUUCGGCCGCUUUAAGAUGGGCCUAUGUAUGAUUAGCUAGUUGGUAAGGUAACGGCUUACCAAGGCUUCGAUCAUUAGCUGGUCUGAGAGGAUGAUCAGCCACACUGGAACUGAGACACGGUCCAGACUCCUACGGGAGGCAGCAGUGAGGAAUUUUGCGCAAUGGGGGAAACCCUGACGCAGCGACGCCGCGUGGAGGAUGAAGUCUUUCGAGAUGUAAACUCCUGUCAGUAGGGAUGAUAAUGACAGUACCUACAGAGGAAGCACCGGCUAACUCCGUGCCAGCAGCCGCGGUAAUACGGAGGGUGCAAGCGUUGUUCGGAAUUACUGGGCGUAAAGCGUACGUAGGCGGUGAGUUAAGUCGAAUGUUAAAGCGCGGGGCUCAACCCCGUGGAUGCAUUCGAUACUGGCUCGCUAGAGGGUGAUAGAGGAAAGCCGAAUUCCGAGUGUAGCGGUGAAAUGCGUACAUAUUCGGAGGACCGCCAGUAGCGAAGGCGUCUUUCUGGGUCACACCUGACGCUGAUGUACGAUAGC